Molecule: ribosomal RNA, 461 nt
Filed under: uncultured bacterium
Lineage: Bacteria
Description: partial 16S ribosomal RNA
Rfam family: Bacterial small subunit ribosomal RNA
Source: RNAcentral
CCUACGGGUGGCAGCAGUGAGGAAUAUUGGUCAAUGGGCGGAAGCCUGAACCAGCCAAGUCGCGUGAGGGAUUAAGGCCCUGCGGGUCGUAAACCUCUUUUGCCGGGGAGCAGUGGUCCGGACGCGUCUGGACCGGGAGAGUACCCGGAGAAAAAGCAUCGGCUAACUCCGUGCCAGCAGCCGCGGUAAUACGGAGGAGGCAAGCGUUAUCCGGAAUGACUGGGCGUAAAGGGUGCGUAGGUGGUUUGACAAGUUGGUAGCGUAACUCCGGGGCUCAACCUCGGCACUACUACCAAAACUGUCGGACUUGAGUGCAGGAGGGGCAAAUGGAAUUCCUAGUGUAGCGGUGGAAUGCGUAGAUAUUAGGAGGAACACCAGUGGCGAAGGCGAUUUGCUGGACUGUAACUGACACUGAGGCACGAAAGCGUGGGGAGCAAACAGGAUUAGAUACCCCUGUAGUC